This 1252-nucleotide long non-coding RNA is filed under the name Betta splendens (Siamese fighting fish). RNAcentral describes it as "lncRNA (ENSBSLG00000020351.1)". Lineage: Eukaryota; Metazoa; Chordata; Actinopteri; Anabantiformes; Osphronemidae. The record is from RNAcentral.
AUGGGGUUUUUUGCAUCCGUUGCAGUGUUUGACAAACAUCAGCCUGCUCUUCAAGCACGUGCGCGCCCUCAGCAGCCUCCUGGCCGGGAUCUCCUUCCAGGAGGUGGAGGAGGCCCUCGGCUGGCUGAACAGAAUCAGUCCUCUGCCUCAGAGCCGGGAGCAGAUGUUCGAGUGCCAGAGUGCGGUGAUGAUGCUCCACGGGGCGCUGCUGAAGCUGCUGCAGACCCUGUUCGACAACUUCCUGACGGACUUCAGGGCUCAGGAGACGACGCGCAGCCUCCAAACGCGCCCGGCUCAUCACAACAGCGACAUCUUACAGUUCACCUUUUCCGCCCUCUACAAGCUGCCGGCCUCCUGGAUCAACACGUAUGUGAGCGCGUCCGGCCACGGACGACCCCAAACGUGGCCCACGCGUUGCGUGACCGGCGCCUUUGCCUCCCUCUGGCCUGUGUGACUUCUAGGUACGAGUCGUUCUCUCUGUCCUGUGACCUGAUGUACGGAGGAGCCAAUAUCUGCUCCACGGGCCACUCGGAAAACAUCAGCACCGGCCUGACGUUCGGACACAAGAUCCAGUUCAGCCGCAUGUGAGGACCACAUGUUACAGAUGCUGUAUCAGAUUUACCAUCUAGUUUCCUCCUUCCAUUAUUAUCUCAUAAAACUCGUCUGUAUGUUUGUUUUUAGGAUGGUGUUUCCCAUUACAGUUAGUGAUCUGCCCUAUGAGACCAUGUUGACCAUUCACCUCAAAGGAUCAAAGAAAGGAAAAGGCCCGGAGCUGCUGGGCUGGGCCGUCCUGCCCGUCUACAGCAACAUGACUCUGGCUGCAGGAACCUUCCUGCUCAGCCUGUCUUCGCUGCCUGCAGCCCCUCAGCCUCCGUCCCCGGCCCUCUACGACGGCCACACGCUGCCCACCGGCGUCAUCCUGCAGCUCGAAUUUCCCCACGAGUGCAAGUGGACUUUCCAGAGGCCCAUCGCUCUUCCUGGUUCUUCCGCGCCCUGUGAGCCGUGUGAGGAGCUGCAGAAGAAAAUGCUGGAGAUCUCAAAGAAGAGCUGCCUCUGCUUUCUAAACGACACGGACAAGGCCUUCCUGUGGGAAAAGCGUCACAACAGUGACAAAGGCUGCGCCUUCCUCCACCUGCUCCUGGGUUCCGCUCCACACUGGCGCCCGGAAAUGCUGACGGAGAUCUAUUCACUGGUGGAGAACUGGCCCAUCCACCUGCCGGAGGAAGCCCUGUUCCUGCUCAGCGAAAGGUGA